This 466-nucleotide ribosomal RNA is filed under the name Vreelandella stevensii. Its description in RNAcentral is "partial 16S ribosomal RNA". It matches the Rfam family "Bacterial small subunit ribosomal RNA", at positions 338 to 795 of the family's 1533-position model. Lineage: Bacteria; Pseudomonadati; Pseudomonadota; Gammaproteobacteria; Oceanospirillales; Halomonadaceae. The record is from RNAcentral.
CCUACGGGUGGCAGCAGUGGGGAAUAUUGGACAAUGGGCGAAAGCCUGAUCCAGCCAUGCCGCGUGUGUGAAGAAGGCCUUCGGGUUGUAAAGCACUUUCAGUGGGGAAGAAAGCCUUGGGGCUAAUACCCUCGAGGAAGGACAUCACCCACAGAAGAAGCACCGGCUAACUCCGUGCCAGCAGCCGCGGUAAUACGGAGGGUGCGAGCGUUAAUCGGAAUUACUGGGCGUAAAGCGCGCGUAGGCGGUCUGAUAAGCCGGUUGGGAAAGCCCCGGGCUCAACCUGGGAACGGCAUCCGGAACUGUCAGGCUAGAGUGCAGGAGAGGAAGGUAGAAUUCCCGGUGUAGCGGUGAAAUGCGUAGAGAUCGGGAGGAAUACCAGUGGCGAAGGCGGCCUUCUGGACUGACACUGACGCUGAGGUGCGAAAGCGUGGGUAGCAAACAGGAUUUAGAUACCCUAGUAGUC